AUUAGGCUAAUUAUGGAAUUUUAAUUAGGAUUAACUUGAUUAGAACUUUAGAAUUUAAUUAGAAUUAGAAUUUUACUAUGAUUAGAAUUAAUUAUUUUAGAUAGAAAAAUUAGAGAUAAUUAGGAUAAUUGAUUCUUAAAUAGAUUUUAAUUUUAGUAUUAAUUCCCUAAUUGACCACCCACGUGAACUGACUAUUUUAACCCUAGGGUUUAGUCAUAGAAUUUCAUGCUCCAUUAGAUUAGGGCUUGAUU
This 251-nucleotide long non-coding RNA is filed under the name Lathyrus oleraceus (garden pea). Its description in RNAcentral is "Pisum sativum (pea) long non-coding RNA (PSAT_LNC006699)". Lineage: Eukaryota; Viridiplantae; Streptophyta; Magnoliopsida; Fabales; Fabaceae. The record is from RNAcentral.